RNAcentral lists this ribosomal RNA (989 nucleotides) under uncultured bacterium. RNAcentral describes it as "bacterial SSU rRNA". It matches the Rfam family "Bacterial small subunit ribosomal RNA", at positions 28 to 1060 of the family's 1533-position model. The record is from RNAcentral.
AACGUACGCUGGCGGCACGCCUAACACAUGCAAGUCGAACGCAGUAGCAAUACUGAGUGGCAAACGGGUGAGUAUAAUGUGGGAAUCUGCCUUUUGGUUUGGAAUAACACGGGGAAACUUGUGCUAAUACCGAAUAAGCCCUUACGGGGAAAGUUUUAAUGCCGAAAGAUGAGCCCGCACUUGAUUAGCUAGUUGGUAAGGUAAAAGCUUACCAAGGCAACGAUCAAUAGCUGUUCUUAGAGGAAGACCAGCCACAUUGGGACUGAGACACGGCCCAGACUCCUACGGGAGGCAGCAGUGGGGAAUCUUGCACAAUGGGGGAAACCCUGAUGCAGCGAUGCCGCGUGAGUGAAGAAGGCCUUUGGGUUGUAAAACUCUUUCGUCGGGGAAGAAAAUGACUAUACCCGAAUAAGAAGGUCCGGCUAACUUCGUGCCAGCAGCCGCGGUAAUACGAAGGGACCUAGCGUAGUUCGGAAUUACUGGGCUUAAAGAGCUCGUAGGUGGUUAAAAAAGUUGAUGGUGAAAUCCCAAGGCUCAACCUUGGAACUGCCAUCAAAACUUUUUAGCUAGAGUGUGAUAGAGGUAAGUGGAAUUUCUAGUGUAGAGGUGAAAUUCGUAGAUAUUAGAAAGAACACCAAAUGCGAAGGCAACUUACUGGGUCACUACUGACACUGAGGAGCGAAAGCAUGGGUAGCGAAGAGGAUUAGAUACCCUCGUAGUCCAUGCCGUAAACGAUGUGUGCUAGACGUUGGAAAUAUAUUUUUCAGUGUCGCAGCGAAAGCAUUAAGCACACCGCCUGGGGGAGUACGACCGCAAGGUUAAAACUCAAAUGAAUUGACGGGGACCCGCACAAGCAGUGGAGCAUGUGGUUUAAUUCGAAGAUACGCGCAGAACCUUACCAACACUUGACAUGUUCGUCGCGAGCCUAAGAGAUUAGGCUUUUCAGUUCGGCUGGACGAGACACAGGUGCUGCAUGGCUGUCGUCAGCU